UGGAGGAGGGGGUGCAGUAGGAGCUUUCGGUGGAGGGGGUGGAGGGGGCGCUGGAGGGGCUUUUGGUGGAGGGGGUGGAGGAGCUUUUGGAGGGGGCGCUGGAGGAGCUUUUGGUGGAGGGGGUGGAGGGGGCGCUGGAGGAGCUUUUGGUGGAGGGGGUGGAGGAGGAAUAGAACCUGGCCUUGCAAGUCCUGCAAUUGGCGGAGGUGGAGGCGGGGGAGGGACAAUAGUAUUAUGGCAUUGGACAGAUAGAGC
This 255-nucleotide long non-coding RNA is filed under the name Gossypium barbadense (sea-island cotton). RNAcentral describes it as "long non-coding RNA (GBAR_LNC018910)". The record is from RNAcentral. Lineage: Eukaryota; Viridiplantae; Streptophyta; Magnoliopsida; Malvales; Malvaceae.